GACGAACGCUGGCGGCGUGCCUAAUACAUGCAAGUUGAGCGCUGAAGGUUGGUACUUGUCCCAACUGGAUGAGCAGCGAGCGGGUGAGUAACGCGUGGGGAAUCUGCCUUUGAGCGGGGGACAACAUUUGGAAACGAAUGCUAAUACCGCAUAAAAACUUUAAACACAAGUUUUAAGUUUGAAAGAUGCAAUUGCAUCACUCAAAGAUGAUCCCGCGUUGUAUUAGCUAGUUGGUGAGGUAAAGGCUCACCAAGGCGAUGAUACAUAGCCGACCUGAGAGGGUGAUCGGCCACAUUGGGACUGAGACACGGCCCAAACCCCUACGGGAGGCAGCAGUAGGGAAUCUUCGGCAAUGGACGAAAGUCUGACCGAGCAACGCCGCGUGAGUGAAGAAGGUUUUCGGAUCGUAAAACUCUGUUGGUAGAGAAGAACGUUGGUGAGAGUGGAAAGCUCAUCAAGUGACGGUAACUACCCAGAAAGGGACGGCUAACUACGUG
This 497-nucleotide ribosomal RNA is filed under the name uncultured bacterium. Its description in RNAcentral is "partial 16S ribosomal RNA". It matches the Rfam family "Bacterial small subunit ribosomal RNA", at positions 28 to 507 of the family's 1533-position model. The record is from RNAcentral.